AUUGAACGCUGGCGGCAUGCCUUACACAUGCAAGUCGAACGGCAGCACGGGUGCUUGCACCUGGUGGCGAGUGGCGAACGGGUGAGUAAUAUAUCGGAACGUACCUUAUCGUGGGGGAUAACGCAGCGAAAGCUGUGCUAAUACCGCAUAAGCCCUACGGGGGAAAGCAGGGGAGCGUAAGGCCUUCCGCGACUAGAGCGGCCGAUACCUGAUUAGCUAGUUGGUGAGGUAAAGGCUCACCAAGGCAACGAUCAGUAGCUGGUCUGAGAUGUGGAUCAGCCACACUGGGACUGAGACACGGCCCAGGCUCCUACGGGAGGCAGCAGUGGGGAAUGUUGGACAAUGGGGGCAACCCUGAUCCAGCAAUGCCGCGUGAGUGAAGAAGGCCUUCGGGUUGUAAAGCUCUUUUGUCAGGGAAGAAACAGCAGCUCUAAUACAGUAUGCGAAUGACGGUACCUGAAGAAUAAGCACCGGCUAACUACGUGCCAGCCGCCGCAGUAA
RNAcentral lists this ribosomal RNA (501 nucleotides) under uncultured bacterium. Its description in RNAcentral is "partial 16S ribosomal RNA". It matches the Rfam family "Bacterial small subunit ribosomal RNA", at positions 30 to 523 of the family's 1533-position model. The record is from RNAcentral.